GAAGGGAGCGGGCGGGUGAUCCGACUUCCGGACGCCACUGCACAUUGGGGUGUGUUCACUUGAUAUAUAGCAGUCAGACCGCCUGGCAGGAGAGAGUGCGGAGGCGCUCCCAAGCGGGAGGGCAGAGGAUGGCUCCGGAGUCCGGCAGCCGCACAUGCAGAUGGAGACUUUGCAGCAGCGUCGGGGCCGUAGCGUGACGGUGUCAUACGUGGCUGCUGCUGCAGGAGAUGAUCGCGGCUGGCAGGUGGGGAGGAGCAACUGGGAUUAUACAAAUGUACAGUUCACUAAAGAGCGCUACAUACAUUAAUUUGUGGACCUACUGGACCUCUAGCAUCUGUCAGGGAAGGACACUAGUACCCGGAGUUGCCGGGAAUAUGCUGGGAGCCAGUGAAGAGAUGGCGGAGAGUCGCUGCAGUGAAUGCGGGCACCAAACCAGAGGUGGCCCGCGACGUUAAAAUCCCAAACAAUGAGCAGAAAAUUAAAAGGUACUAAAACA
Long non-coding RNA from Pseudophryne corroboree (corroboree frog), 496 nucleotides. RefSeq lists it as uncharacterized. NCBI's taxonomy places the organism in Eukaryota, Metazoa, Chordata, Amphibia, Anura, Myobatrachidae. The transcript is spliced from 3 exons. The record is from RefSeq and is a predicted model, not a curated record.